GGGGGGGGGGGGGGGCGGGGCGGGUGGGGGGGGGGGGGGGGGGCGGGGGGGAGGCUGGCUUUUCGGGUGUUAGCGGCGGGCGGGUGAGUAAGACGUGGCUAACCUACCUCUAAGACUGGGGUGACUUCGGGAAACCUUAGCUAAUACCGGAUACUAGUUUGAAACGCAUGUUUCAACAAUGCAAGACGGUCUUGCUGUCACUUAUCGAUGGAUCCGCGCUGCAUUAGCUAGUUGGUAAUGGAACGGCUUACCAAGGCAACGAUGCAUAGCCGAACUGAGAGGGUGAUCGGACACACUGGAACUGAGACACGGUCCAGACUCCGACGGGAGGCAGCAGUAGGGAAUCUUCCGCAAUGGGCGAAAGCCUGACGGAGCAACGCCGCGUGAGUGAUGAAGGUCUUCGGAUCGUAAAACUCUGUUAUUAGGGAAGAACAUAUGUGUAAGUAACUGUGCACAUCUUGACGGUACCUAAUCAGAAAGCCACGGCUAACUACGUG
Molecule: ribosomal RNA, 497 nt
Filed under: uncultured bacterium
Lineage: Bacteria
Description: partial 16S ribosomal RNA
Rfam family: Bacterial small subunit ribosomal RNA
Source: RNAcentral